GAUGAACGCUAGCGGCAGGCUUAACACAUGCAAGUCGAGGGGUAGAGGAAGCUUGCUUCCUUGAGACCGGCGCACGGGUGCGUAACGCGUAUACAAUCUACCUUUUACAGAGGGAUAGCCCAGAGAAAUUUGGAUUAAUACCUCAUAGUAUUUUCGGAUCGCAUGAUUUGAUUAUUAAAGUUCCAACGGUAUAAGAUGAGCAUGCGUCCCAUUAGUUAGUUGGUAAGGUAACGGCUUACCAAGACAAUGAUGGGUAGGGGUCCUGAGAGGGAGAUCCCCCACACUGGUACUGAGACACGGACCAGACUCCUACGGGAGGCAGCAGUGAGGAAUAUUGGUCAAUGGACGCAAGCCUGAUCCAGCAAUGCCGCGUGCAGGAUGAAGGCCUCGGUUGUAAACUGCUUUGUACGGUAACGAAACGGUAAGGACUCUAA
Molecule: ribosomal RNA, 434 nt
Filed under: uncultured bacterium
Lineage: Bacteria
Description: bacterial SSU rRNA
Rfam family: Bacterial small subunit ribosomal RNA
Source: RNAcentral